AAGGCGCAAUGAAAGUGAAUGCCGGUUCCCUCAGAAUCUGGCCUGUGUUGGGACUCUCCGUCUUUGGGCGCGAGAAGCACCAACGACCCGUCCUAUCCGAUUUAUCGGUUGGGCGGAGUCUGAGCGCACACGUUGGGACCCGAAAGAUGGUGAACUAUGCCUGGGCAGGACGAAGCCAGAGGAAACUCUGGUGGAGGUCCGUAGCGGUUCUGACGUGCAAAUCGAUCGUCAGACCUUGGUAUAGGGGCGAAAGACUAAUCGAACCAUCUAGUAGCUGGUUCCCUCCGAAGUUUCCCUCAGGAUAGCUGGCGCUCGGAGAAUUCAGUCUCAUCCGGUCAAGCGAAUGAUUAGAGGCCUUGGGGCCGAAACGACCUCAACCUAUUCUCAAACUUUAAAUGGGUGAGAAGUCCGGCUUGCGUAGUGGAAGCCCGGACGUGUUGGAUGAGAGUGCCCAGUGGGCCACUUUUG
RNAcentral lists this ribosomal RNA (468 nucleotides) under Mecysmauchenius osorno. RNAcentral's name for it is "eukaryotic LSU rRNA". It matches the Rfam family "Eukaryotic large subunit ribosomal RNA", at positions 711 to 1139 of the family's 3401-position model. The record is from RNAcentral. Lineage: Eukaryota; Metazoa; Arthropoda; Arachnida; Araneae; Mecysmaucheniidae.